Long non-coding RNA from Solenopsis invicta (red fire ant), 1893 nucleotides. RefSeq lists it as uncharacterized. Lineage: Eukaryota; Metazoa; Arthropoda; Insecta; Hymenoptera; Formicidae. The transcript is spliced from 3 exons. The record is from RefSeq and is a predicted model, not a curated record.
CGCUCAUGUUUUGUUCCGUUUCUGUUCUAUGUUUUCGUCUAUAGCCAAAGAUACUUCCAGGCCACAAUUGCAGUAGAGAAGCCAGGCAGGAAAAGCGAACUUGCCAGCAUGCGAUGUAAAAAUGUUCAUGAAAAUCGAAGGAAGACAGUUCCAAUAGCGCACGGACGGGUGCGCGUUAUGGAAUGGUUUUUAAUUAUUUUUGGAAAAUGAAAAUAUCACAAAAUAGCUUUAUUAUAUACCCUUGAAUUUGUAAUAAAAUAAGCUUUAUUUUGCUUAUAAAAAGAUAUAAAAAUUUUGAAAAAAAUAGUUUCAAUAACAUACGCUUCGAAGGAGAAAACCAAUUUUCUCCAAAAGGAUAUUUCAUCCCGUAAAAGUGCGUAUGGACUCGUAUAAAAAAAAUACGUGUCUCUUAUUUUGACCUAGACUACAACAUAUUUAAAGCUUAUCAAAAUUGGAGUGUCACACUUGGGUAGGUAGUAAGUUAAGUAAGUUAAUUUUAUAUUCAUGUAAUUUUUAACAUAUUUAGAUUAAUUUGAUAUAUUAAUAACUUUAACUUAACUCAGUUAAAAAAUAUAUUAACCUACCUAACCCUGAUUAUAAAUAUAUAGCAUGUUAAAAUAAGAAAAGAAAUAAGAGAAAUCGGAUAAUUGAAACAAGACUUCAUUUUUAAGCAAAAAUUUGGUAAAGAGACGUUCAAUAAUCAUAAAAACAAAUUUUACAUAUAACAUUGUCAAAAUAUAUUGCAUUUCCAUGCGUCCCCACUCGAGUGGAUAGGGAUUAAUCGUUAUUAUACGACACGUAGUACAAUUGCAAAUAAUGACAGAACUCAUUGUUUACAUGAAUAUCCUAUAAUUUUGUUAACAGUCUAUGUCGGAAGCAGAUAAUGUGUACUGCGACUAUACUAUAAAGUAACAGAGACGGUGUAUAAAUAAAAUUACGGAAGAAAAGAAGUUUUUCCAAGUAUCAGUUCUUUCUGCACUCUCAUUUCUUGAAUAAUAAUUCUGUCGACAAGCAACAAAUGCCUAUUGCGUUUCAUACUAAUCGUGAAAAUUACUAGAAGCACGACAGUGCUCGUGAUGAUAAUUACGCAUUAGGUAUUCUAAGCGAACGGUAUUAAAUUGUGUGCUGUUCAACCUUCAGUUUUGAAAAAAAUAAAGCGAGGGGAGAAAACACUUUUGAUGUGUGCGCUUGAAUCAUGUAAUGAUAAAUAGUUUCUUUUACUAAAUCAAAAAAUGUUGUCGUGUAACAUUCGCUUAUGGACUAAAUUUCAAUAGAACAAAAAUUGCAAAGAUAUUGUAGACAUAUAGUUACAAAUAUUGGUAAUGAAACGUAUCUAUUUAAACCAUAUAUACGUCCUUUUAAUAAAAUCUAAACGUACAACGCACUCUGUACCUAGUCGUAUAUCUGUUUUGAGUAAUUUGACACACAAUUAGUAAUAAUGAAAAAAAUAAAAUAAAAUAUUAAUUGCAUUUACAUUUUAAAUUUACACUAUAAGUAUAUAAGUAUAUAAAAUUUAAAAACUGAUAUUUUCAAUAACAUUUUAAUUCUUUAUUCUUUACUACUAUUCAAUUUAUCAGCUUAGUUUACUUAUCAUACUACGUUUACGAAUAACAAAUAAUAUUUAUUUUUUACUGCAGUAGUCAUAACAUCCAAAACAGAUACAGAGUGUUUGACAUUAGAUGUAACCAUAUGAUAUCGCUUAUUUAGGCAAAAACAGAGGACUAAAUUGAAACAAAAAGUCCUGUAUUUUAUAAUUUUUACAAUGGUUAACAAGUUAUUAAUUUAUGAAGAUAGCCAAAUUCGCCUGGCCAGUGGCCUACUGUCAAAAGUAAACGGCAAGGUACAACCACUCAGCGAUCAUUGUUGCUACUUACGCAGGAAGAUAUUUCGAAA